AUCACUUGGCUGCUGGGGGGCAGGAACAACUACCUCUGCCCCCUGUAACUCAGCCUGUCGCUGGGGAGGGAGGACACUGCUCUCCUCUCCCUGCACUUCACACUGCCUUCCCGGCAUAUCACUCUGCUGCUGGGGGGCAGGAACAACUACCUCUGUCCCCUGUAACUCAGCCUGCCGCUGGGGAGGGAGGACGCUGCUCUCCUCUCCCUGCACUUUACACUGCCUUCCCGGCAUAUCACUC
This is a non-coding RNA of Pelobates cultripes (western spadefoot toad), 241 nucleotides long. Lineage: Eukaryota; Metazoa; Chordata; Amphibia; Anura; Pelobatidae. The record is from the annotation of a GenBank genome assembly.